This 253-nucleotide ribosomal RNA is filed under the name uncultured prokaryote. RNAcentral describes it as "partial 16S ribosomal RNA". It matches the Rfam family "Bacterial small subunit ribosomal RNA", at positions 525 to 777 of the family's 1533-position model. The record is from RNAcentral.
ACGAAGGGUGCAAGCGUUACUCGGAAUCACUGGGCGUAAAGCGUGCGUAGGCGGUUCGUUAAGUCUGCUGUGAAAGCCCUGGGCUCAACCUGGGAACUGCAGUGGAUACUGGCGGACUAGAGUGUGAUAGAGGAUGGUGGAAUUCCCGGUGUAGCGGUGAAAUGCGUAGAGAUCGGGAGGAACACCAGUGGCGAAGGCGGCCAUCUGGAUCAACACUGACGCUGAGGCACGAAAGCGUGGGGAGCAAACAGGA